AACGAACGCUGGCGGCAUGCCUAACACAUGCAAGUCGAACGAAGCCUUCGGGCUUAGUGGCGCACGGGUGCGUAACGCGUGGGAAUCUGCCCUUUGGUUCGGAAUAACAGUUGGAAACGACUGCUAAUACCGGAUGAUGACGAAAGUCCAAAGAUUUAUCGCCAGAGGAUGAGCCCGCGUAGGAUUAGCUAGUUGGUGUGGUAAAGGCGCAACAAGGCGACUAUCCUUAGCUGGUCUGAGAGGAUGAUCAGCCACACUGGGACUGAGACACGGCCCAGACUCCUACGGGAGGCAGCAGUGGGGAAUAUUGGAGAAUGGGCGAAAGCCUGAUCCAGCAAUGCCGCGUGAGUGAUGAAGGCCCUAGGGUUGUAAAGCUCUUUUACCCGGGAUGAUAAUGACAGUACCGGGAGAAUAAGCCCCGGCUAACUCCGUGCCAGCAGCCGCGGUAA
RNAcentral lists this ribosomal RNA (449 nucleotides) under uncultured bacterium. Its description in RNAcentral is "partial 16S ribosomal RNA". It matches the Rfam family "Bacterial small subunit ribosomal RNA", at positions 29 to 523 of the family's 1533-position model. The record is from RNAcentral.